Cygnus olor (mute swan) is the source of this 564-nucleotide long non-coding RNA. RefSeq lists it as uncharacterized. The transcript has 5 exons. NCBI's taxonomy places the organism in Eukaryota, Metazoa, Chordata, Aves, Anseriformes, Anatidae. The record is from RefSeq and is a predicted model, not a curated record.
UUUUUUCCCCUGGCUCUAAACUGGAAGUUUUGAAGAGUCUGAUCUUACCUUUCAGCCAGAAAGAGGAAGAAAGAUCAAAGAACUCAGUCCAUCCCCUUCAGUGGCCUUUUUUGAUCCAUGAAGUAGGAAGAACUUGGAUGGCGUGUGGUGAAGCAGCAUGGUAAAGCAUGAGUAUUUCCUGGUCUCUGGACCGCUGGAUGAUUUCAAUACUGUACUGAAUUGUCUCCAGCACACCUGCAUAAUCCUUGCGGUCAUGUAUGUCCUCUCUGCAAUGCAAUUACUGCUGCUGUUGCUGCUGCAGAGGCCAGGUUGGUACAUUGAGGUGAAUUUGUUUCCAUGAGAACAGAUUGCUGAGGAAAUCAUUCAGCUUAUGUCUUACCAGCCUGAUCAAUGAACUCUGGAUUUUGUUGCAGGAGGUGCAGGCACAAAGAGGAAGAGGCAGCAGCCCUAGCCCUUUGCUCUGUGAUGCACCUCAACCACUGUGGAUAUGUUGGGGCAGUCAGGGUCUGAUUAAAGAAGGGCACUCUUUGGCCAGCCUCUGGCAACUCUCUGUGGGCAUGCUGC